GAUGAACGCUGGCGGCGUGCCUAAUACAUGCAAGUCGAGCGGACGGACGAGACGCUUGCUUCUCUGAUGUUAGCGGCGGACGGGUGAGUCACACGUGGAUAACCUACCUAUAAGACUGGGAUAACUUCGGGAAACCGGCGCUAAUACCGGAUGAUAUUUUGCACCGCAUGGUUCGAAAGUGAAAGACGGUCUUGCUGUCACUUAUAGAUGGAUCCCCGCUGCAUUAGCUAGUUGGUAAGGUAACGGCUUACCAAGGCAACGAUGCAUAGCCGACCGGAUAGGGGGAUCGGCGGCACUGGAACGGGGACACGCACCAGACGCCUGCGGUAGGGAGCAGUAUGGAAUCGGACGCAAUGGGGGAAAACCUGACGGAGCAGCGGGACGUGAGAGGUGAAAGUCUUCGGAUCGUAAAACUCUGUUAUGAGGGAAGAACAGAUUUGUAAGUAACUGUGCACAUAUUGACGGUACUUAAUAAGAAAGCCACGGCUAACUACGUG
This 497-nucleotide ribosomal RNA is filed under the name uncultured bacterium. RNAcentral describes it as "partial 16S ribosomal RNA". It matches the Rfam family "Bacterial small subunit ribosomal RNA", at positions 28 to 507 of the family's 1533-position model. The record is from RNAcentral.